RNAcentral lists this long non-coding RNA (1218 nucleotides) under Medicago truncatula (barrel medic). Its description in RNAcentral is "long non-coding RNA (MTRU_LNC004751)". The record is from RNAcentral. Lineage: Eukaryota; Viridiplantae; Streptophyta; Magnoliopsida; Fabales; Fabaceae.
ACGAAUUUUUUAUCUUGCUUUGCACGAAUUCACAAAACUAGUUAGAACAAUUGAGAGGAAAGGAUAACAAGUUAUUCUGAGAGUUAGGGCCAUUGAUCAUAGGGAGGUUUACAUACCAUUGAAGUUCUGCAGUGGUCUAUCUCUUCAACUGGGGUUUAUCUCUAAUUCUUUCAAGUGAAGUUACAAAUUUUUAUCAAGUUUAAUGUAGAUUAGUAUCAUGGGAAACAGUGGAAUUGAGAAGGGGUGCUCUCAAUUCUACGGCGGUGGUUUUCAUGUAAAAGGAGUAACCAGAAUGUGACACUGUCGACUUUUGAAAAGUUACCACUCAAAGGGGAUGCCUAGGAAAAGGAGAAACAUUAAUAUGGGCAUGGAAGAGAUACAAAGAAGUUGAUCAGUCAAUGAUAGAGAUACAUGCAAAAAGUGUCACUAAUGGUCUCAUCAUUAUGCUAGGGAAAGUAGAGAUGUGUCGUUUUCUGCGGUGUAAUGGAAGCAUUGUUAGGCACUACACAAGCGGUAUCAUCAAUGUCGAAGAGCCAGUGAAAAGCUUGAAAAGGUGGGUCUCAUGCAGGCUGGACGAGGACGACCCAUCACCACUCAAAAAUCUGUCGAAUUUGACUGCUUUUGUGGUUGGGAACAGAUCAUAGACAUUGACAUAGCUCUUGUUCAUCCACAGCCAGAAUUGCUAGAUGCAGUUCGCGGUGCAAGGACCGAAGAAACCACUACCAUGAAGGUAGUUAUACCAUAUCACCUGCAGUUUGGUUCACACGGUUUGAAAACUACAUUUUGGUUUUCAGUUAAAAAAAGUUCGGUUUGGUUAAAUAACACAGAACUGGUACAUCAGACCUUUAUACUGGUUUGAAUUUACCUGAUGACACAGGCCCUUGUCAAAGUGUUGUGAAUAUUGGUUAGUUUUUCAAUCACCGGUUGGCAACUUUGAUAAUUAGGCUCUGUUUGGAUAAAAAAAACUUAAUUAAAGUGCUUAUAGUAAGUGUUGUGUAUAUGUAACAAAGAUAAAAUAAAGUCAGUUUUUUUCCAUUAAUAUAAGCUAUAUGUUGUAUUCUUAAGUUAUCCUAGAGAGUUAAUAUAUAUAAAAUGAAUAUAACUCGGACCGUUUUGAUAAACUUUCUCAAGCAGUCUUACAAGUGUUAAGUAAAUAUGCUCAAAUACGUCAACCCAUUCAGGCUCUUAGAGAAAUAAGGCAUAGUCUAUAACUAAGAU